Molecule: non-coding RNA, 1999 nt
Organism: Arvicanthis niloticus (Nile rat)
Lineage: Eukaryota; Metazoa; Chordata; Mammalia; Rodentia; Muridae
Source: RefSeq, a predicted model, not a curated record
AAGGACCGCCUCACCGUGCCAACCCACUGAGUCAUGUGUGUCUGGGCCACCGAAAGCUUGUCACCCAGGGAGAACUCCCGUGCACACCUGGGAGCCACCGCCCACCGCCGAUCCGCUCUCCCUCCGGGCUCUUCUCACCUGAACCAGGCAGCUCUCCAGUCUUCAGGCUGGAGACUCCAAACCUGGAGCCGAACCUGCCGGCCAGCAGGCAGCGCGCUCACUUCCGGAGAGGCAGCCACCCAGCCUGGGUCCCCUGGCCCGGCAGCCCGGAAUGACAUCAGCCCCCUGUCUUGGCGAGGGGCGCACAGCACAGGAAUGCAGGAGGGGCCUCUCUCGGGAGGUGGCCGCCCAGGGAGCUGGCGUCAGCCCCAGUUUUUUUUUGUUUUUUUUUUUUUCCCCCUAAGUCUCAACUCGCUCGCUGUCCCUCGGGGACUUCAUGUGCCAGACUGCCUACCCACCCCGGGCAGCACCGUGCAGAGACGCGGCUGCCGGGCGUGCGGGUGAAGAAAUACCAGCUCAGAGAGGUGGAUUCACAUGUCCAAGGUCACACAGCAAGACGGAAAGAUACUCUUGGAAAUGGCCCCUCCCCACGGUUGUGUGCACAUCUGACCCCCAAACCUCACCCACUGCAAAGCCUCGAAAAUAUUGACUUUUCAAAAUGCCAGGCCAAAUCCAAAGUUGAUUUGAUUCCGCACUGGCCCAACCACCUGGGAUGAUCUCUGCACCGCCCCCUUACCUCUGUCCUGAGGAAAUAUUUGCUCUCUAGACACCAGACUUGCCUUGCCAAAGUAAGGUUACCCUGAAGGCCCCUGUGACAGACAGUGUGUGCAGGCUACUGCCUUCUCUUCUUCCUCCUCAUUCCAAGACCCUGAGGUCCUGGCAUCUCCUUCAGUUAACAGUGGGAGUGAGCACCACCUCUGCCUCAGGCCCUGUGCUGUGGAGGGUCACAGGGAUGUAACAGCUGCUGACUGACAACACCUGAGCCUGAUACAUGCUCAGGGGACCCCAUUUGCUAAAUGGGGAGACUGAGGCCCAGACAGCUGAAGCUGCCUCCCAGAGGCCCCUAGGGAUCCCAGUACCCUUCCCAAAGUGCAUCAGGGCAUGUAAGGGGCAGCCAUGUUGGAUGCUCAGGUGGAAAAGCCCACAGGGAAGGGAUUAGGAAUCUAGCUAAAAGCCAGCACCAUGGCUGGCUGCCCUCAGUCAGACUCAGACGACAGGAACUAUGGUCAGCUUCCUGACUAGAGUCACCGGGAGACAAAAGCUCACUCAGCCAAGCCUCAGUCUACUGAUCAUAAUGAGUGUAAAGGUCCUGAGGCAAGCCAGUUCCACAGGGAACUGUGGAGAUGAAGACAGGUUGGCUCACAAUGGAGGGAGAGCCUCUGACUGAGGUCAGACCGUGUGCCCAGCAGGUGAGAUGUCACCCCAGCCUGCACGCCAGCAUUCAGACAAGGAACCAUGCCAGGAGAGGGCCAAUCCCCUUCUCCACCUGUGCCCAGCUCCUUCCCUGGCAUCCAGAGGUGGCUACAUCCACAGUCACAGUCAGGGUUUCUGGCCUCCACAAGGAAUUCAUAGCAACCUCCAGCUCAGGCCACUUCACAGACUUCCCAGGUGAUCAGGGACAGACCGAAGACAGGAAAGGACAGACAGGCCCUCCCCAUCUGGCCCCAGAGAUGGCACCCCAGGAACCUUCUGACAACCAGAAUGAGACACAGGUGUGACAGGCUGUCUGGACACAGAGAUGGGGGCCAUUCCAGCCUUCGUAGGGAAGGGGGGCCGUGAGAGGCACAAGACACAUCUAAAGAGAUCACAGAUCCUGCCGAAAGGCAUCAGGAAGGGUGCAACAUCCAUAAUAUUUCUUAUGAAAGCUAAACACCUCAGAUGAAAUAUUGCCCUGUGGGGACAGACAGACACAUGGAAGCUGGGGACCGGGUUGGGACAGGCAGGUGCCGUCUGCCUUGAAAACGCACGCCUUUAAUCCCAGCACUUGGGAGGCAGAGGC